This 430-nucleotide ribosomal RNA is filed under the name uncultured beta proteobacterium. Its description in RNAcentral is "bacterial SSU rRNA". It matches the Rfam family "Bacterial small subunit ribosomal RNA", at positions 958 to 1392 of the family's 1533-position model. Lineage: Bacteria; Pseudomonadati; Pseudomonadota; Betaproteobacteria. The record is from RNAcentral.
AACGCGAAGAACCUUACCUACCCUUGACAUGGAAGGAACCUCCGAGAGAUUGGAGGGUGCCCGAAAGGGAACCUUUACACAGGUGCUGCAUGGCUGUCGUCAGCUCGUGUCGUGAGAUGUUGGGUUAAGUCCCGCAACGAGCGCAACCCUUGUCAUUAGUUGCUACGAAAGGGCACUCUAAUGAGACUGCCGGUGACAAACCGGAGGAAGGUGGGGAUGACGUCAAGUCCUCAUGGCCCUUAUGGGUAGGGCUUCACACGUCAUACAAUGGUACAUACAGAGGGCCGCCAACCCGCGAGGGGGAGCUAAUCCCAGAAAGUGUAUCGUAGUCCGGAUUGUAGUCUGCAACUCGACUGCAUGAAGUUGGAAUCGCUAGUAAUCGCGGAUCAGCAUGUCGCGGUGAAUACGUUCCCGGGCCUUGUACACACCG